UACGUAGGAUGCAAGCGUUGUCCGGAAUUAUUGGGCGUAAAGAGUUCGUAGGUGGUUAUCUAAGUCUGGUGUUAAAGACGGGAGCUCAACUCCCGCAUGGCAUCGGAAACUGGAUGGCUAGAGUGUGAAAGAGGUAACUGGAAUUCCUGGUGUAGCGGUGAAAUGCGCAGAUAUCAGGAGGAACACCUGUGGCGAAAGCGAGUUACUGGUUCAUUACUGACACUGAGGAACGAAAGCUAGGGUAGCAAAAGGGAUUAGAAACCCC
This 265-nucleotide ribosomal RNA is filed under the name uncultured bacterium. RNAcentral's name for it is "partial 16S ribosomal RNA". It matches the Rfam family "Bacterial small subunit ribosomal RNA", at positions 524 to 788 of the family's 1533-position model. The record is from RNAcentral.